GAAACCCAAUCCAACAUGCCAAUAAAUUAUUGGAAUUUCUAACUCAACACAACAGCAAUUCUACUUUGUUACAACUUCAAUUUCGAUUCUGCCGACUCCUCUCAUUUUCUCCUCUCUUCCUUUUAAUUCCUCUGGUUUUCUUCACUUAAACUACUCGAUUUCUGCAAUUCUUCUUGAAGGCCAAACAACGGAAAUAUAAGGGAAAAAAAUGGUUGCAAACGAGUUCUCGAUCAGCAUCUAAGAAUAUCAGUUCUUUCUCUAAUUCUUUCGUGAGAUGUGAACCCUAGUCACAUAGUCUGCUCAAGGAAUUUUGGUUAGACUGUUUCUUCUUCUUCACUUGAUAUUUUUCAAGUUAAAGCAUUGGUGCUUGAACUUUGAAGAUUACUGGAUCAUAUCUAGACUGUUACAAGUGAAUUGCAGUUGCUUUCUUAAUUAACUUUCAUUUUUGUUGGAAUCUCAAGAUAUGUCUACUGGACCAACGAGAAGGGUAUCAACCAAAGAUAUACAAGUGGUACAAAAUCUUAUAGAACGGUGUCUUCAAUUGUACAUGAACCAAAGAGAAGUUGUGGAAACAUUAUUAGCUCAGGCAAAGAUUGAGCCGGGUUUCACUGAGCUUGUUUGGCAAAAGCUUGAAGAAGAAAAUCGGGAAUUCUUCAAGGCAUAUUACUUAAGACUAACUGUGAAGCAACAAAUAAUAGAAUUCAACAAGCUUCUUGAGCAACAGGUGCGAUUGAUGCGUCAGAUAAAUUCAACUGGAGUUGCUUCAAUGCCUACUUCUAAUGGAUCACACAUCCCUGCAAUGCACCAGAAUUCUGCAUGCUAUGCCCCAGAGCAUGCAGGACCUUCUCUGAAGCCAGAGAACAUGCAUCAUCCUUUUGGUUCCAGUAUGACUCAUGCAUUCACCAAUGGUGGAUCAGCGCUGCACUCAAGUAUGCACACUGCUGUUGAAAUGUCUGCUCAUGCCAAUAGAAUUGAUGCCCCUCUGAACAUGCUUUCAACGCAGAGCUCAAACAUGGGUUUGAUGCAAGGAUUAAAUGGUGGAAUGAUCAAAUCUGAAGCUGGAUAUUCCGGCACUUCCCCUUAUAUGUUUGGCAGUGAUGGCAAUGUCCUGGAAGCACGCCCAUCAAUUGCAGAUGCAUCUGUUGCUUCUUUCAGCAGUGUAGAGUCUAAUUCACAAGCUCUGAACGAGCCACUUUUGGAUGCGGACACUUCUUCAUAUGGAUUUUUGGGCCAGAUUCCCCGAAACUUCAGUCUAUCUGAUUUGACAGCUGAUUUUGCUCAGAGUUCAGAUAUAUUGGAGAAUUAUCCAAGAUCACCCUUUCUAGCAUCAGACAAUGAAAACUUUCUAGAUUCUCGUGAAAGAGAACAUCAAGGAGACAGUAAAAGGUUGGACACUAUAUCAGAAGGUGUGAGCUAUGAUGAGUUUGGAAGUGAAUAACAAUGAAAUUUCAGUGUAUUGAUUCAAGGUGAAUGCCAUCAAACAAUGGUGAGAAUUUGCAGUACUUUUUCACUCUUCAAUGCAUUUUUUAGCUCUACGCCUCUUCAUCGUAUAGAUUAUGAUCCAACUGCACCCCUUGCCAGGGGUUUGUAUAUAGCAUUUUAGAGGGGAAAAAGCUUCAGAUGUGUAGAACUCUAAGGAGAUUGGUGUGUAAAAUUUCACUGACUACAGUUUGUAGUAUAUGACACUUUGACAUUAGGAUUUUUUAGGGUUAAAAAAAGGAUCAAAUAAUGCAACAGGUAUCCCUGUUUCAUUUUUUUUUUUUUUCCUUUCAAAAUUAUGACGCUAUCAUCGAAUGAUUUUUAUUAUUAUCUUGUUGAGGAAAGUGAAAACAUUUUUGUGUGGUGGUAAUGCAGUUAUUAUGUUAAUAUUGGAAAUUAUGCUUCCAUUUGAAAUGAGAUUGUGACACUUCAUGGGAUUAAACUUUCA
RNA transcript from Jatropha curcas, 1927 nucleotides. It is a transcript of the gene named histidine-tRNA ligase, with no coding region annotated. The record is from RefSeq and is a predicted model, not a curated record. NCBI's taxonomy places the organism in Eukaryota, Viridiplantae, Streptophyta, Magnoliopsida, Malpighiales, Euphorbiaceae.